This 329-nucleotide unclassified non-coding RNA is filed under the name soil metagenome. RNAcentral describes it as "partial contains 5.8S ribosomal RNA, internal transcribed spacer 2, and large subunit ribosomal RNA". The stretch from base 1 to 120 matches the Rfam family "5.8S ribosomal RNA", at positions 35 to 154 of the family's 154-position model. The record is from RNAcentral.
GAUGAAGAACGUAGCGAAAUGCGAUAAGUAAUGUGAAUUGCAGAAUUCAGUGAAUCAUCGAAUCUUUGAACGCAUCUUGCGCUCCUUGGUAUUCCGAGGAGCAUGCCUGUUUGAGUGUCAUUAUAACCCCUCAAGCUCAGCUUGGUGUUGGGGCCUGCUGCACUGGCAGCCCUUAAAAUCAGUGGCGGCGCCAUCUGGCUCUAAGCGUAGUAAUUCUUCUCGCUAUGGAGUCCUGGUGGAUGCUUGCCAUCAACCCCCAAUUUUUCUAUGGUUGACCUCGGAUCAGGUAGGGAUACCCGCUGAACUUAAGCAUAUCAAUAAGCGGAGGA